Molecule: non-coding RNA, 206 nt
Organism: Prunus avium (sweet cherry)
Lineage: Eukaryota; Viridiplantae; Streptophyta; Magnoliopsida; Rosales; Rosaceae
Source: RefSeq, a predicted model, not a curated record
UGCCUUCCUAUAGCUCUUCGACUUUUCUACUACAUUAAUUCCUCUUGGUAUUCCACCUGCUGCUUACAAUCAAUGGCUCUCAAGGCGUUCCUCCUCCUCUUCGUCACCAUUCUCCUAGUUACUACAAUGGUUUCGUCUCAGGACAAUCCUGAAGAGGAACUCAAGGCAAAGAGUAGACCAACGAAGCCAAAAGCCAAGACACCAUC